AGAGAAAUCUUUUUUUCAGAAUAUUUUCUCCACCUUUGCAGGAAAAGAUGUGUCCCCUAAACCCUGACAGGCCAACUGUCCAAACCAAGCUGCAUCCACUAAACAAAUCUUUCAAGGUUGUGAUGUGAUGCAGAUGUCUGCAGCCAAGUGACAGCUCAGUGGUCUGACAACUCCUGAAAUAUCCUCAGAACCUGUGACUGUUGUCAUCACUCUGGUCUUUUCUUUUCUCAAACAGUAUCCUGUGGAUGGAAAACAGGUUGUCGUGGAAACCGUUGCACUCCUUGGAUGCAGACCACCAUGUAAACACAGACACGCAGGCUUUAGUUACUGAACUCAUCUGCCAAUCCAUCAGGAGCAGAAGCAUCAUUCCAAAGAUGUCAGCAAAGGUCUAGCAAACAGUUGGAGAACUCCUGGAAAAGGCGGAUAAAGACGGUUCUGCGUCACCAAAGAGAACCCGAAGCUGAAAACCGGAGUUUCAGUUUAUCUCCGACUUUCUGGAUGCGGCUGAAAGAAGGAGCUCUACAUCAGCGGAGUUGCUAUGACAACAAAUAAAAUGGCUCGCAUGCACAAAGAGGAAAAUCAGCAGGAGAUGUGAGCUGUGAUGUGCACCAAACAAAGAUGAGCAUCUGUCACCUGCAGUCAUGGAUUCAGAUCUGCCAAAGUCUGCAGAGGCUGUGGGGAGAUCGGGAGACUUUUUUCCGUCUGUCUGGUGUCACAGUUUGUGCAAACUAAACUCCCUUUUUCUCACACAGCAGUGGGCUGAAAUUCAUUAUCUCUAAAGUCCAGACAAAACUGGCAAAAAGAUCAGAGGUGGAUCGUGUGGAGCCCAAGAGCCACGUGGUGCAUCGGCCCACAGUUUCCUCAUGCUGGCUGAGGAACUUUUUUAAUGUGAAUGCAUGUUGAUGAUUCUUUCUAACAGUUCAGCUCCUGUUUUUAUGUCCCUCUGGUUUGUAGUUCCUGGAAUUGUAAUUUCUUUUAACUAAUAGAGUACUGAUGAGAAUGACACACCUCAUUGCAAACGAUCACAAUUAAAACGCUUCUAGUUUGACUUCAGGAGAACAAAAGGGAAAUCUCCAUUAUAGACGUUAAUUCAGAAAUGCAAAAAUGAGAGAAAAAACACCUUAAAGUGCCACAUUUCUUGUCUCUUUGGUUUUAAUAAAGAGUACUGGAGUUAAAAAAUACAAAUAACAGUUUAAUGCAGAAGCUCAAAAACCCAUUUUUGAGAAAAACAUUUUCUAGUUUUCUUUUUUUCUGCUUCUAUCACAGAUUAUUUACAAAGAUCUGAACUUCAAGAGUCGGCUGUGCUAUUCAGAAGACUAAAACUCUCAAGAUUUAGAUAUUUUCCACAAAAAAAAGAAUAGUCUAUUUUUUCAAUAUUUCUCACACCAAACAAGGUCUCUGUGUGACUUAGCUCCACAGCAUCAUACUCCCACUACCAUGCUUCACUGUAGGGCAGAGGUGGGCAAACUCUGACCCAGGGGCCAUAUGCGGCUCAUUAAACUAUUUAACCUGGUCAAUCAAACUGGAAUCAUUUAUAUUAAUAAUCCUCAUUUGUGUUUCAUCUUCACUGUAAUUGUGAUGUCUCUCCAUAUUUUGCGCACUAUAAAUAUAUUGACUUUUUGUUUGGAACAAAAAGUUACCCUGCAAUUAGUUUGGUGUUGGAAGAUUUUGUUGUUUUUCCAAAGUUCAUAUGUGUUUUCCGAGUUAUUUUUCCGAUCAUUACCAUGCCACUUAAAUUAAGCUUUUCUCUAAGUUUGUUUUUUUACCCAGAGGGAUAUCAACCCAGUGGUGCAAUUGGUACAAAAAUGAGAACAAGUUUUGAAAUAAAAACUCCAAAAUGUUCUGUUUUAAAGAAUAUAAAUCAGUUUUCAAUAAAAUGAAAGCAGGUUUUUGUUCAG
Molecule: long non-coding RNA, 1898 nt
Organism: Oryzias melastigma (Indian medaka)
Lineage: Eukaryota; Metazoa; Chordata; Actinopteri; Beloniformes; Adrianichthyidae
Exons: 3
Source: RefSeq, a predicted model, not a curated record